AAAGGGAGACCUAAUUCAGGUAUGGGACGAAAAAAAAGUAGUCGCUACCAAGAAUCAAUCCCAAAAGGUCGGAGCGAGGCGAAAUUGGCUUUCAAACUAGGUUCUGGGUUCACACAAGACCUGAAUCAGGAACAAGGGCUAUUAGCUCAGGUGGUUAGAGCGCACCCCUGAUAAGGGUGAGGUCCCUGGUUCGAGUCCAGGAUGGCCCACCUGCACAGGUGGCAAAAACAAGAGAAGCUCCGAAUCAGCACCUUAUCUUACUUAUAUAGUAAGAGAGAAUGCUGGCUCUGAGUUCAGAGUCCAGAGGAACCUUGAAAACUGCAUAGAGCUAGGUGAAAAAGCCAAAAAAGAAGACCGCAAG
Molecule: transfer RNA, 361 nt
Filed under: uncultured Microcystis sp.
Lineage: Bacteria; Bacillati; Cyanobacteriota; Cyanophyceae; Chroococcales; Microcystaceae
Description: partial 16S-23S ribosomal RNA intergenic spacer
Rfam family: tRNA (bases 136-209)
Source: RNAcentral